CGCGUAGGCGGUUAUUUAAGUCAGGGGUGAAAACUCUGGGCUCAACUCAGAGCCUGCCUCUGAAACUGGAUGACUUGAGGGCAGGAGAGGGGAGUGGAAUUCCCAGUGUAGCGGUGAAAUGCGUAGAUAUUGGGAGGAACACCAGUGGCGAAGGCGACUCUCUGGCCUGUUACUGACGCUGAGGCGCGAAAGCGUGGGGAUCAAACAG
RNAcentral lists this ribosomal RNA (208 nucleotides) under uncultured Pelotomaculum sp. RNAcentral's name for it is "partial 16S ribosomal RNA". It matches the Rfam family "Bacterial small subunit ribosomal RNA", at positions 568 to 775 of the family's 1533-position model. The record is from RNAcentral. Lineage: Bacteria; Bacillati; Bacillota; Clostridia; Eubacteriales; Desulfotomaculaceae.